This 472-nucleotide ribosomal RNA is filed under the name uncultured bacterium. RNAcentral describes it as "bacterial SSU rRNA". It matches the Rfam family "Bacterial small subunit ribosomal RNA", at positions 335 to 799 of the family's 1533-position model. The record is from RNAcentral.
ACUCCUACGGGAGGCAGCAGUGGGGAAUAUUGCACAAUGGGGGAAACCCUGAUGCAGCCAUGCCGCGUGUGUGAAGAAGGCCUUCGGGUUGUAAAGCACUUUCAGUAGGGAGGAAGGUAGUGUAGUUAACACCUGCAUUAUUUGACGUUACCUACAGAAGAAGCACCGGCUAACUCCGUGCCAGCAGCCGCGGUAAUACGGAGGGUGCGAGCGUUAAUCGGAAUUACUGGGCGUAAAGCGCAUGCAGGCGGCCUGUUAAGUCAGAUGUGAAAGCCCGGGGCUCAACCUCGGAAUUGCAUUUGAAACUGGCCGACUAGAGUACUGUAGAGGGGGGUAGAAUUUCAGGUGUAGCGGUGAAAUGCGUAGAGAUCUGAAGGAAUACCGGUGGCGAAGGCGGCCCCUGGACAGAUACUGACACUCAGAUGCGAAAGCGUGGGGAGCAAACAGGAUUAGAUACCCUGGUAGGAUAGCG